This is a long non-coding RNA of Rana temporaria (common frog), 177 nucleotides long. RefSeq lists it as uncharacterized. Lineage: Eukaryota; Metazoa; Chordata; Amphibia; Anura; Ranidae. The transcript has 2 exons. The record is from RefSeq and is a predicted model, not a curated record.
CCACAAGGUGGUGAUCUUACGUCUUCCCAGACAGAAAGUCUCUAUGGAAAACAGACAGGAAGUGAUGUCAGGAACAGGCAGGAAGUUCUACGUAAUACGAAGUACAAAGGAGACGUUACUGGAAGUGGCAGCAGAGGAGGUAUGUCCCAUCUGAGUCACAUAGACAAGUUCUUGAUG